RNAcentral lists this ribosomal RNA (570 nucleotides) under Vibrio sp. AmSamW43i. RNAcentral describes it as "bacterial SSU rRNA". It matches the Rfam family "Bacterial small subunit ribosomal RNA", at positions 79 to 645 of the family's 1533-position model. Lineage: Bacteria; Pseudomonadati; Pseudomonadota; Gammaproteobacteria; Vibrionales; Vibrionaceae. The record is from RNAcentral.
ACGAUAACGGCGUCGAGCGGCGGACGGGUGAGUAAUGCCUAGGAAAUUGCCCUGAUGUGGGGGAUAACCAUUGGAAACGAUGGCUAAUACCGCAUAAUGCCUACGGGCCAAAGAGGGGGACCUUCGGGCCUCUCGCGUCAGGAUAUGCCUAGGUGGGAUUAGCUAGUUGGUGAGGUAAUGGCUCACCAAGGCGACGAUCCCUAGCUGGUCUGAGAGGAUGAUCAGCCACACUGGAACUGAGACACGGUCCAGACUCCUACGGGAGGCAGCAGUGGGGAAUAUUGCACAAUGGGCGCAAGCCUGAUGCAGCCAUGCCGCGUGUGUGAAGAAGGCCUUCGGGUUGUAAAGCACUUUCAGUCGUGAGGAAGGUGGUGUAGUUAAUAGCUGCAUUACUUGACGUUAGCGACAGAAGAAGCACCGGCUAACUCCGUGCCAGCAGCCGCGGUAAUACGGAGGGUGCGAGCGUUAAUCGGAAUUACUGGGCGUAAAGCGCAUGCAGGUGGUUUGUUAAGUCAGAUGUGAAAGCCCGGGGCUCAACCUCGGAAUAGCAUUUGAAACUGGCAGACUAGA